CAGGGAGACAACAAAAUGUUUAAUAUUAUUAUUUUGUCACCUUAGGUCGAUCGGUAUCUCACGUUCUUAAUUUAUUAAGAAUUUCAUUUCCUAAGUUUUUCUAGGUCACACCCAUUAUUUUUCCUGGGCCAUUAGCUCAGGUGGUUAGAGCGCACCCCUGAUAAGGGUGAGGUCCCUGGUUCAAGUCCAGGAUGGCCCAUAUCUCUAUGUUGGGGGUAUAGCUCAGUUGGUAGAGCGCCUGCUUUGCAAGCAGGAUGUCAGCGGUUCGAGUCCGCUUACCUCCACUGAUUACCACCUCUUCCAUAAUCUGUAGAAAGGAAAUGUUUUGAGUUUGUGGAUCAAAUCUGAACGAAUCUAGCUUCCUAAUAAAAUCAUUAAGAUGCUGGACUCAUUGAAUUAAUUUCAUUGUUUUCAGAGAACCUUGACAACUGCAUAGAUUAUUUUUAAAGACAAUAAGCAUCUUUAAUGAUGCAGAUUUAUUAUUUGUGCAAAUGCAUUAACAACAAUUCUAUUAAGCUGAUGCUUCAAUUUUGAAGUUAUU
This 541-nucleotide transfer RNA is filed under the name uncultured cyanobacterium. Its description in RNAcentral is "partial 16S-23S ribosomal RNA intergenic spacer". The stretch from base 212 to 284 matches the Rfam family "tRNA". The record is from RNAcentral. Lineage: Bacteria; Bacillati; Cyanobacteriota.